Molecule: ribosomal RNA, 238 nt
Filed under: uncultured bacterium
Lineage: Bacteria
Description: partial 16S ribosomal RNA
Rfam family: Bacterial small subunit ribosomal RNA
Source: RNAcentral
UGGCGGACGGGUGAGUAACGCGUGGGUAACCUGCCUCACACUGGGGGACAACAGUUAGAAAUGACUGCUAAUACCGCAUAAGCGCACAGGACCGCAUGGUCCGGUGUGAAAAACUCCGGUGGUGUGAGAUGGACCCGCGUUUGAUUAGCUAGUUGGUGGGGUAACGGCCUACCAAGGCGACGAUCAAUAGCCGACCUGAGAGGGUGAACGGCCACAUUGGGACUGAGACACGGCCCAG